Molecule: ribosomal RNA, 429 nt
Filed under: Acidobacteriota bacterium
Lineage: Bacteria; Pseudomonadati; Acidobacteriota
Description: Acidobacteria bacterium partial 16S ribosomal RNA
Rfam family: Bacterial small subunit ribosomal RNA
Source: RNAcentral
UGGGGAAUUUUGGACAAUGGGGGAAACCCUGAUCCAGCCAUCCCGCGUGUGCGAUGAAGGCCUUCGGGUUGUAAAGCACUUUUGGCAGGAAAGAAACGUCAUGGGUUAAUACCCCGUGAAACUGACGGUACCUGCAGAAUAAGCACCGGCUAACUACGUGCCAGCAGCCGCGGUAAUACGUAGGGUGCAAGCGUUAAUCGGAAUUACUGGGCGUAAAGCGUGCGCAGGCGGUUCGGAAAGAAAGAUGUGAAAUCCCAGAGCUCAACUUUGGAACUGCAUUUUUAACUACCGGGCUAGAGUGUGUCAGAGGGAGGUGGAAUUCCGCGUGUAGCAGUGAAAUGCGUAGCUAUGCGGAGGAACACCGAUGGCGAAGGCAGCCUCCUGGGAUAACACUGACGCUCAUGCACGAAGGCGUGGGGAGCAAACAGG